This 279-nucleotide ribosomal RNA is filed under the name uncultured bacterium. RNAcentral describes it as "partial 16S ribosomal RNA". It matches the Rfam family "Bacterial small subunit ribosomal RNA", at positions 506 to 784 of the family's 1533-position model. The record is from RNAcentral.
UGCCAGCAGCCGCGGUAAUACGGAGGGUGCAAGCGUUGUCCGGAUUUAUUGGGUUUAAAGGGUGCGUAGGCGGGCCUAUAAGUCAGUGGUGAAAUACUUCGGCUCAACCGGAGAGGUGCCAUAGAUACUGUAGGUCUUGAGUGAAGUUGAAGUAGGCGGAAUUGAUGGUGUAGCGGUGAAAUGCAUAGAUAUCAUCAAGAACACCGAUAGCGAAGGCAGCUUACUUAGUUUCAACUGACGCUGAUGCACGAAAGCGUGGGGAGCGAACAGGAUUAGAUA